Molecule: transfer RNA, 65 nt
Filed under: Dipodomys ordii (Ord's kangaroo rat)
Lineage: Eukaryota; Metazoa; Chordata; Mammalia; Rodentia; Heteromyidae
Rfam family: tRNA
About the family: Transfer RNA (tRNA) molecules are approximately 80 nucleotides in length.
Source: Rfam by way of RNAcentral
GGUGGCUCAGUGGUAGAGUGCUUGUCUUGCAUGCCAGAGACCCUGGGUUCGAUUCCUCAGCACCA